AGUNACGGCGAGUGAGCGGCAACAGCUCAAAUUUGAAAUCUGGCCUCUAGGGGUCCGAGUUGUAAUUUGUAGAGGAUGUUUCGGGUACCGCUCCGGUUUAAAUUUCUUGGAACAGAAUGUCAAAGAGGGUGAGAAUCCCGUCUUGGACCGGUGGUAGGGCCUAUGUGAAACUCCUUCGACGAGUCGAGUUGUUUGGGAAUGCAGCUCAAAAUGGGUGGUAAAUUUCAUCUAAAGCUAAAUAUUGGCCAGAGACCGAUAGCGCACAAGUAGAGUGAUCGAAAGAUGAAAAGCACUUUGAAAAGAGAGUUAAACAGUAUGUGAAAUUGUUGAAAGGGAAGCGCUGGCAACCAGACUUGUGCGCGGCGGUUCCCCCUUCCUUUUGGUUGGGUUACUCCGCCGUGUCCAGGCCAACAUCGGUUUUGGGGGUCGGUCAAAGGCCUGGGGAAUGUAUCUACUCCUCCGGGGGUAGACUUAUAGCCCAGCGUGUCAUGCGACCUCCCGGGACCGAGGAACGCGCUUCGGCUCGGAUAUUGGCGUAAUGGUUGUCAGCGACCCGUCUUGAA
Molecule: ribosomal RNA, 563 nt
Filed under: Capronia dactylotricha
Lineage: Eukaryota; Fungi; Ascomycota; Eurotiomycetes; Chaetothyriales; Herpotrichiellaceae
Description: eukaryotic LSU rRNA
Rfam family: Eukaryotic large subunit ribosomal RNA
Source: RNAcentral